RNAcentral lists this transfer RNA (76 nucleotides) under candidate division WWE3 bacterium CG08_land_8_20_14_0_20_41_10. RNAcentral describes it as "tRNA-Arg". It matches the Rfam family "tRNA". From Rfam's summary of the family: Transfer RNA (tRNA) molecules are approximately 80 nucleotides in length. Their secondary structure includes four short double-helical elements and three loops (D, anti-codon, and T loops). The record is from RNAcentral. Lineage: Bacteria; candidate division WWE3.
GCCCUCGUAGCUCAGUGGAUAGAGCAAUUCCCUUCUAAGGAAGAGGUCGUGCGUUCAAGUCGCACCGGGGGCACCA